This is a long non-coding RNA of Brassica rapa (field mustard), 604 nucleotides long. RefSeq lists it as uncharacterized. Lineage: Eukaryota; Viridiplantae; Streptophyta; Magnoliopsida; Brassicales; Brassicaceae. The record is from RefSeq and is a predicted model, not a curated record.
CAUUUUAUUUCUACAAAACCGCGUUUUUGUAGAAAAGAAAGAAGGCGACGAAGUUGACACUUCAAAUGAAUCAAUUCAGUAUACAAAUGUGAUUUUGUGUGCUUCGAUCUAUAAAUACAGUUGUGGUCGAUGACACUUGAGAGAAUAACAAAGUGACAAUGAAGAAAACAACACAAGUGUUUCUUCUUCUUUUCCGUUUGAUGCUUCUUACAUGCCUAGUCUUUCAGGUUCGUGUCACAGAGGCUAGAUUCCGCCACCUAGGGGAGGAACGGAUUGGCGCAAUACCCUCCAUUCCAUGUGGAGCUGCUCCUAGAAGAAGUGAACUUACAGGAAUAAUGAACAGGCUCUGUAGGAGGACUAGGAUUUCAAGACCUCCGGGUGUUAAUUAGUGAUCUCCGUCCAAGAGAUAGCAACGUUUGAAUAUGAGCCACGAAUAAAAUCUCAACUGUUCAGAAGUUUAUUAAUCAUAUAUAAUUCCAAAUAAUUGUUUCACGUUUUGCUAAAGACUAUCGCUUAGCUGAGAUACAUUUUCUAAUUUCUUCUUAAAAUCAUGUUUUAUGUGUACAUGGUAAAGUUAAAGUUUACAGUAAUGAUUUCGCAAGCA